Molecule: long non-coding RNA, 930 nt
Organism: Pteronotus mesoamericanus
Lineage: Eukaryota; Metazoa; Chordata; Mammalia; Chiroptera; Mormoopidae
Exons: 3
Source: RefSeq, a predicted model, not a curated record
AUUCCCACCAGAAAUUCAUGAAAGUUCCGGUUGCUCUGCAUCCAUGUCAGCAGUUGCUAUGCCACAGAAGUAACGUACUAUCUUAAAGAGAAGGUUUUCUCUAUGGUUGUGCUACAAGGACUUUGAGGCCUUUGGUCUAGGAAGACACAUGAACAGGUGAUGUUGAGGACUAAAAGGGAAAUGGCCCUGAGAGAAGACCUGCCUUCUGCUCCCUGGGGAAACAGACCUUCCUUGCUGCUGGGACAAAGAAGAAGGGAAUUUUUUUCCGGUCCAAAUUGGCACAUAGUACUAAAGGAAAAACCCAUCCCUGAGCAGCAGUCUAUAAUUUUGGUGUGAAGCAGUCUUGUCCCACUUAUUAAAGGAGGUGUGUACCUGUGUCAGGUACUGUAGCCAGAAAGGGUUCUAGUGGUAGAAAGCCUAGCACUGAUUACAUUUACUGAAUACAUGGAAAGUUAGUGAUGGCACCAUUUAAAAAGCCAGACCAAAAGCUGACAGUCAUAUCAGCUACAAUAUGGCGGGAGGCAUUAUUACUGUGUUGGACCAAAGUCUUCAUGUGAGCAGCACCAACUGUAAUGACUGGAGGGGUUGCCAAGGCAACAGUGCAGCAAUAACACCAUUAUUUUGACAGGAGAGACUGGUUGUUAAUCAGGUUAAUGGAGACAGUAAUGAGAGUUUGUGAGUACCCCCAGCUCCAUUCCAACCUGAUCUGCUGCCCUGUUCAAACUUUCACCUAAUUAGAUGCCAGGGAACAGAAGAUACUAAGAAGAACUAGGGUUUCCGUAUUUAUUCUAAAGGGAAUUUGUCUGCAGAAAUUCUUUGUUUGCUUUACCUUUGUUCUAUUACCCACACUAUUCCAUUGUCCUGCUCAGCACUGGUGGCUUUCAAUUACCUAAUUUUCUUCGAGGGAAGUAGCUCACUGUUGUGGACGUG